This 356-nucleotide RNase P RNA is filed under the name Trueperella sp. RNAcentral describes it as "RNase P RNA component class A". It matches the Rfam family "Bacterial RNase P class A". From Rfam's summary of the family: Ribonuclease P (RNase P) is a ubiquitous endoribonuclease, found in archaea, bacteria and eukarya as well as chloroplasts and mitochondria. Its best characterised activity is the generation of mature 5'-ends of tRNAs by cleaving the 5'-leader elements of precursor-tRNAs. The record is from RNAcentral. Lineage: Bacteria; Bacillati; Actinomycetota; Actinomycetes; Actinomycetales; Actinomycetaceae.
UGAGUCGGCCGGGCGGCCGCGCGUCUAAUGCUCAGCACUAGACUCGAGGAACGUCCGGGCUCCACAGGGAACGGCGGUGGGUAACGCCCACUCGGGGUGACCCGCAGGAAAGUGCCACAGAAAGUAAACCGCCCAUUUUGGGUAAGGGUGAAAGGGUGAGGUAAGAGCUCACCGCGUGCCAGGUGACUGGGACGGCAUGGUAAACCCCGCCGGGAGCAAAACCAAGCAGUGCGCUAUGAGGCGUCCCGUUUCGCGCACGGGUAGGUUGCUGGAGCGUGCAGGUAACUGUACGCCUAGAUGGAUGGUCGCCACCGCUUUUUGCGGUACAGAACCCGGCGUAUAGGCCGACUCAUUCG